This 250-nucleotide unclassified non-coding RNA is filed under the name plant metagenome. Its description in RNAcentral is "partial contains small subunit ribosomal RNA, internal transcribed spacer 1, and 5.8S ribosomal RNA". The record is from RNAcentral.
GUAUGUGAACCUGCGGAAGGAUCAUUAACACGUUCCAUAGCCUAAUCAACCAACCUGUGAACUUGUAUUCGGCUGUAUGUAGACAUCUGUCUCUCAGAUAGAUGUAUAUCAUUUCAGCCCCACCUCCAUAAAUUAUAUGGAGCUAUCAUCUUGUGGGCAUACAUCUGUAUUCCUCUUAUGAUUAGUUUUCUCCAUAUAAUUUUAUGGUAUUUUUUAUUCACGCCCUAGUUUUUCAUUCGGUAACAGGAAU